This 72-nucleotide transfer RNA is filed under the name Loxodonta africana (African savanna elephant). It matches the Rfam family "tRNA". Rfam says of the family: Transfer RNA (tRNA) molecules are approximately 80 nucleotides in length. Their secondary structure includes four short double-helical elements and three loops (D, anti-codon, and T loops). Lineage: Eukaryota; Metazoa; Chordata; Mammalia; Proboscidea; Elephantidae. The record is from Rfam by way of RNAcentral.
CCCUGGGUGGCACAAAUGGUUUGCCCUCGGCUACUACCUGAAAGGUUGGUGGUUCAAAUCCACCCCGAGGUG